UAGCUCUAAUGGCAGAGCAUCGGACUCCAAAUCCGGAUGUUGGGGGUUCGAAUCCCUCCUGG
This 62-nucleotide transfer RNA is filed under the name Ctenophora environmental sample. It matches the Rfam family "tRNA", at positions 8 to 63 of the family's 71-position model. Rfam says of the family: Transfer RNA (tRNA) molecules are approximately 80 nucleotides in length. Their secondary structure includes four short double-helical elements and three loops (D, anti-codon, and T loops). Lineage: Eukaryota; Metazoa; Ctenophora. The record is from RNAcentral.